RNAcentral lists this ribosomal RNA (585 nucleotides) under uncultured bacterium. RNAcentral's name for it is "partial 16S ribosomal RNA". It matches the Rfam family "Bacterial small subunit ribosomal RNA", at positions 355 to 937 of the family's 1533-position model. The record is from RNAcentral.
UGGGGAAUUUUGGACAAUGGGCGAAAGCCUGAUCCAGCAAUGCCGCGUGUGUGAAGAAGGCCUUCGGGUUGUAAAGCACUUUUGUCCGGAAAGAAAUCCUUGGCUCUAAUACAGUCGGGGGAUGACGGUACCGGAAGAAUAAGCACCGGCUAACUACGUGCCAGCAGCCGCGGUAAUACGUAGGGUGCAAGCGUUAAUCGGAAUUACUGGGCGUAAAGCGUGCGCAGGCGGUUUGCUAAGACCGAUGUGAAAUCCCCGGGCUCAACCUGGGAACUGCAUUGGUGACUGGCAGGCUAGAGUAUGGCAGAGGGGGGUAGAAUUCCACGUGUAGCAGUGAAAUGCGUAGAGAUGUGGAGGAAUACCGAUGGCGAAGGCAGCCCCCUGGGCCAAUACUGACGCUCAUGCACGAAAGCGUGGGGAGCAAACAGGAUUAGAUACCCUGGUAGUCCACGCCCUAAACGAUGUCAACUAGUUGUUGGGGAUUCAUUUCCUUAGUAACGUAGCUAACGCGUGAAGUUGACCGCCUGGGGGAGUACGGUCGCAAGAUUAAAACUCAAAUGAAUUGACGGGGUCAUAGCUGUUUCC